Molecule: long non-coding RNA, 3475 nt
Organism: Scophthalmus maximus (turbot)
Lineage: Eukaryota; Metazoa; Chordata; Actinopteri; Pleuronectiformes; Scophthalmidae
Source: Ensembl
AUGGGAAAGACCUGCCUGAAGGACUCCACUGUGCUGACCAUGUUCUGUCUCCAAGAGCAAAGAAGAAAAAUGAAUCACUCGGUUGUCGUCACCAAAGUGGAUGAUGUGGACGUCAGCUGCUGCGCUUCCUCACGGAGUGGAAACAGUGGAAGAAGGCUUUUCCACCACAGUCCACCAGCCAAACACAGCUUGCCAAGGUCUGCAGCUCUCUGGACACCUUGACGGACACACUCAUCACCAUGUCCACAUUGUGAUUAUAGGAUUAAAAUUAAUAAACACCUAGUUUUCAAAAAAUACUGUAGAUUCCUGUAAUUUAAAACAUCAGCAUACUGUUUGGUGCCUCUAUCCUGUUGCUUCAAGUUAAGCUACCCACAAUGCAUUGUUAACUACAGUACUAAACCAUUUUACAUGAAAACAGUAUUUUAGUGUUGAAAAUUGGCUGUAAAUUUACUGCAAUAAUUUACAGUGUAGGUGACAAAACCAUGUAAAGUAAAUUCAAUCAGAUCCAAAAUCACAUAGUAUUGAGGUGGGAAUAAUGCUACACAAAUAAAUAAGUCCAAACUAGGUUCUGACGAUCACUGUUGUGAUCACUAUUCACAGGUCAUGGUUCCCCCUCCUUUUGAUUAGCACAACGGCACCGAUGAGAGCGAACAGUUGCCAUGGAGAAACAUGCAAUCAGCUGGUGUUUCUCUCCCUUUCACUGCAUGUACCCUCCCCUCAAUCUCUUCCUCUGACUGUAGACACUACAGGCCCUGUUGUAGUCAGAUAGUGAGGGAGCAUUUGCAGUGUGGGAGGGAGGAUCUCAGAUGUUCAUGUUGGAGAACUCAUCUCCUGUUCCGGUCCUAGGUAAGCUUCAAUACUUCUCCAGAUCUCCCUUUCUUUUGGCUGCCAUUACGCAAACUAAGCUCAUUUGCCCCCCACUCCCAAGAGAACCAUGAUCUGCCUUUUGUUCGGGGCCCCAAACUUCCAUUCAUGUUCCCCAGGAGAGUAGACAAAAGAGGAAGAGACACAGGCCUGAACCCUUUGCCCAGACAGACUGCGUAAAGCGACCAUAAAGAGAUGACGGGCUUGAAUGGAGACCUUUAGCCUUAACUACUUAACAUUGCUUCUGUCUGUGGGGGUGUUCUCAUUUACUUUGUGCAUCUUAACAUUUCUUUGACUUAUAGCAUAAAAUAUUGCUCUGAAAGCUCGGUUCACUGCAACUAAAGAAAAUACAAACAAUGCAACCAAAUACAGAAAUGUGCUACAAAUACAUGUAUAACAAUUGAAUAAAGAAAAGCAUCAUCUUGACAACACCUAUAUGCAGUACAAAAGCAUAUAGUUGUAAAAAGAACAAGUAUAAAUGUCAAUGCUGAUAAUUACAAGCAAAUACAUCAAAGCACUUAAAAAUAUGUGACAACACAACCAAAUAUACCACACACACACAAAACACUAAACAAAUAAUAAAAUGCACUGGAAAUUCAGCCAACACAAGCAAAUGCACAAACAUUGCAAUUUGAGCAAAGUUAAAAAAAAAAAGUUUCCAGGGGAUGUUCACACUGCUGAACACCAAGCCACCAGGAUCAGCACUGCUCUGUGAAUUGAUACAGGUGUUGCAAGGGUUACAUUUAGCACAUUGGCCCAAAACCGCUUUUCACAUUCACAAUCACACUAGUCGGAGUGGCUGUAAUAGGAUGAAAAUAUUUAUGAAUAAAUGUGUUGCAAAAAUAAUUAAUUUAAACUAAUUACACACAAACAUUUGUAUUGUUGUUGUCCUUAUUGACAACAGAAUUUUAACAAUUACAGUGUGGUUUGGUCAAAAAGUGCAUUGACAGCCUCUGUCUGAAACACUUGGUUUUAGGUCCUGUCUCUUUAAGAACCCCCUCCAAAUGAAGUCCAUUCUGCUCUGACUGGCCAGCUUACCUACUCUGAUGUGAUUGGUCAACCACUUCCAGUGCAUGUAAGAAGUGUCCACUUCAGCUUUUGCUUUACCUGGCAUUGUUUGGGGGUUUGCCAGAUUAGCCUCUAGGCACUUCUCUAACAUCGUGAAAUCACAGUGAAUUGGCUGGACUUCUGAUGAGGCAUUUCAAGAGUUUCAGGAGUAGACGCUCAAAAGUGCAAGAAUUAAUAAAGUACAAGUGGUUCAAGUACUUAUUUGUAAUUAAGUGUUUUUGUGUGUUUAAUAUAACAAAUUCAGGGAGUAAGGUGCAGUCUGAACAGGUGAGUUUUCAGUUCUGCUGUCCUGAUGCCAAUGCGGAGCUCGUUCCACCAUAAAGGAACCCGGACAGAAAACAGAUGGGAUUUAGAUGAGCGGUGGCUGGCCGCCCCUCGCAGUGAGGGAUUAGCAAGCGGAGUGGUUGGGCUGGGGUGUAGAGUUUGACCAUUUCAUCCUGGAUGUAGGAUGGGCCUGAACCAUUCGCAGCACGGUAGGCGAGUACCAGUGCCUUGAAUCGUAAUCGAGAGACCACCGGAAUUCUGUGCAGUGUGGGAGGAGCACUGUAGUGUGGGAUAACUUGGGUAGAUUUAAGUCCACCGGGGUUGUCCAGUGUCACACCCAGGUUCCUUCCAGGUUCAUCUGCGUAGCUAUGGUAGGAAAAGCCAUGUGAGUGAAUGACAGAGCCUAAUGACCUGAGGAAGGGGCCCAGAAAAGAGCCCUGAGGGACCCCAGUAGUGAGGUUGCAGGGUUCGAACAUCGAUUCUCUCCAAGUAACCCUGUAAGUGCGGCCCUUGAGGUAGGAUGCAAAUAGGGAGAGUGCUGAGCCUGAGAUUCCCAGUUGUUGGAGGGUGGAGAGUAGGAUCUGGUGGUUCACUGUGUCUAAAGCUGCUGAGAGGUCGAACAGGAUGACAACAGAGGAGAGGGAGGCUGCUCAAGCUGUGUGGAGUUCCUCUGUGACACCUAGGAGGGCAGUCUCUGUUGAGUGCCCUGCUUUGAAUCCAGAUUGGUGGGGGUCAAUAAGGUUGUUCUGGUGGAGAUAUGCAUAAAGUUGAGUUAAGACGUUCAAGAGUUUUUGAAAGACAUGGAAGAAGAGAGUAGUUUAUCACAUCAGAUGGGUUGAGUGCAGGUUUCUUUAAAAAAGGAUUCACUCUUGCUGCUUUAAGAGUGUUGGGAAAGUAACCUGUUGUCAGAGAGGUAUUGAUGAGGUGGAUGAGGAACGGAAGGUGGUCAGGAGCAAUACACUGAAGAAGGUGAAAGGGGAUAGGAUCAAGGGGGCAUGUGGUGGGGCGGUGGGGUGUGACCAAGGAUAGUAGCUCACUGGGAGGGAGUGGUGAAAAAGCGACUAGCGAAGGAGAUGAGGAGGAGGGUGAAGGACAGGUAGUGUCAGUAGGGGGUCAAGAAAUGAGGAGUGAAUGUCAUCUAUCUUUUUUGCAAAGUAGUUUACAAAGUCGCUCGGAGGAAGGGAGGAGGAAGAGCGGGGAGCUCGAGGAGGUUAGAGAAAAUGGAAAAAAGUUUCUUGGGGUCGAAGAGGGAAGAUUGAAUUUUAGAUUCAAAGAAAGA